Molecule: ribosomal RNA, 417 nt
Filed under: Salmonella enterica
Lineage: Bacteria; Pseudomonadati; Pseudomonadota; Gammaproteobacteria; Enterobacterales; Enterobacteriaceae
Also listed under: 1 other name
Description: bacterial SSU rRNA
Rfam family: Bacterial small subunit ribosomal RNA
Source: RNAcentral
AUGCGUAGAGAUCUGGAGGAAUACCGGUGGCGAAGGCGGCCCCCUGGACAAAGACUGACGCUCAGGUGCGAAAGCGUGGGGAGCAAACAGGAUUAGAUACCCUGGUAGUCCACGCCGUAAACGAUGUCUACUUGGAGGUUGUGCCCUUGAGGCGUGGCUUCCGGAGCUAACGCGUUAAGUAGACCGCCUGGGGAGUACGGCCGCAAGGUUAAAACUCAAAUGAAUUGACGGGGGCCCGCACAAGCGGUGGAGCAUGUGGUUUAAUUCGAUGCAACGCGAAGAACCUUACCUGGUCUUGACAUCCACAGAACUUUCCAGAGAUGGAUUGGUGCCUUCGGGAACUGUGAGACAGGUGCUGCAUGGCUGUCGUCAGCUCGUGUUGUGAAAUGUUGGGUUAAGUCCCGCAACGAGCGCAAC